This 496-nucleotide long non-coding RNA is filed under the name Hordeum vulgare. Its description in RNAcentral is "long non-coding RNA (HVUL_LNC013819)". The record is from RNAcentral. Lineage: Eukaryota; Viridiplantae; Streptophyta; Magnoliopsida; Poales; Poaceae.
UGCUUUGGAGCUUCGCUGUGGCUUCAAUGAUGUUGUGUUGAAGUUAUCAUGUUGCCGCUGCCGUGCUGAUCCAAGGGCUGAAUAGACGGAUGAUUUCUUAACUGAUUCGUAGCAGCCCAUAUUAUGUUUGUAGACACAAACUUUUGAUAUCCUUUAAAAAAUAAGGUGACACUAAAUUAUAAAGCUAUCAAAGGUAAUUACAGAAUUGUUCCAACUUUUACCAACCGCACGGUGAAAAGAAAAGGAAAAAGAACACAUACACAAGUGAUAUAUUGUACAGUACAUCUGAAGAUUCUAACGUAACCCAGUUGAUCACUGGAAGGGAAGAAGGAAAUUUGCCGACAUAGUAAUCUUCUGUGAAACAGCCAGCUCGUACAGAAAGCAGAUAGCAGAGCACGAGCCGAGAGUGAGGGGAGACACGGAAAAGAAGGCCACCGAGAUGGCCCAUUAACGUAACCCAGUUCGACAGAUCACGCCCAAGGAAGACAUGAGCCCC